CUUCUUUUAAUAAAAAAAAACUAUUUAGCUGGUUACUUAAGCUAAUGGUCCAGGUUGUAAGAAAAUACAACAGGCCCAUUAGUGCUUCAUCUCUAAUCUAAAGAAUGAAAUACAGUUGCAACUUGAAACAUGAAAGAAACGUGAAACAAGGACAUACAUAACUGCAAAUGGCAAUCAAAGGGGCAAAGUUGGAAAAUAAAGUUUAUUUGUUUCAGAAUCGAUUAUGUGAGACGCAAAAGCUAGGAAUAUCAGUUUCAGUACAACCGGCGUUUUGGUCUCAAAAACUGAGUUUCCUAGAUGCGCUUUUCAUUCACCCAAACAACAAAAAUCUGGAAACUGCGUUUUAAAAAGUACACGCAAGUUUGCACACUGAAAACAUGUUGCCAAACACAUAUUACAUUAUUCAAAUUCAAACAACUGCUUUUGGUUAGCACCAGACUCUCAGUGUUCAAGUUCUUGAUUAAAUCAGUAGCUUGCAAAUUGAACUUUACCUCAAUGUGAUCGAAGCUGUAAAGUUUUUAUUUUUUUUUAUCGAUGGCCGUUGUUAAUCAUGUGAAACGUAAAAGUUGAAAAGUAAAGAUCUGAACAACGCAGCUAGGAAUCCACCAAAUAUUCGCAUCAAAAUGUGAUAACUCCAGGCUAAUAUAGCCUACAUUCGUAACUGAUUUUUUAAACAUUUUGAAGCAUAAACUUUGUGAAGUAAAGGAUCAAGCUAGUUUCUGUACAAAGUAGCUCAAAAUCUCACUAAACUCAAUUGUUGUAAACAAAGGUAAAAAAAAGUUCCUUGAUAAAAAGAUUACAUUUUUUUUAAAGUAUUAAUUAACUCAUAAUAUUGUUAGACACACAUAUAAAAGUUGAACAUGAAUUCCUAACAAAAAAUAAACGGGAACAUGAAGUUACUAUAAUUUAGAAGGUCAGUGUUUAUUUUUGCUUAGAUAAGAAGUGGACUAUCCACCUAGUUUAAGAGACAUAUUUUCCUCGUCUCCAACAUCGGUUAAUAUGUACAUGUAAAAAAAAAUACUAAAUU
Molecule: long non-coding RNA, 1027 nt
Filed under: Medicago truncatula (barrel medic)
Lineage: Eukaryota; Viridiplantae; Streptophyta; Magnoliopsida; Fabales; Fabaceae
Description: long non-coding RNA (MTRU_LNC001493)
Source: RNAcentral